UACGUAGGCAGCAAGCGUUGUUCGGAAUACUGGGCGUAAAGAGUGUGUAGGCGGUGCUCUAAGUUUGGUGUGAAAUCUCCGGCUCAACUGGGAGGUGCGCCGAAAACUGGAAUGCUUGAACAUGGGAGAGGAAGCGGAAUUCCUGGUGUAGCGGUGAAAUGCGUAGAUAUCAGGAGGAACACCGGUGGCGAAGGCGGGUCUCUGGGCAGUAACUGACGUGAGGAGCGAAAGCGUGGGGAGCGAACAGGA
RNAcentral lists this ribosomal RNA (249 nucleotides) under uncultured bacterium. Its description in RNAcentral is "partial 16S ribosomal RNA". It matches the Rfam family "Bacterial small subunit ribosomal RNA", at positions 524 to 777 of the family's 1533-position model. The record is from RNAcentral.